AUUGAACGCUGGCGGCAGGCCUAACAAAUGCAAGUCGAACGGUAACAGGAAAAGGCUUGCUUCUUUGCUAACGGGUGGCGGACGGGGGAGAAAGGUCUGGGAAACUGCCGGAUGGGGGGGGAUACCUCCUGAAAAGGUUGCCAAAACCCGCUUACCGUCGAAAAACCAAAGAGGGGGACCUUGGGGCCUCUUGCCAUCGGAUGUGCCCAGAUGGGAUUAGCUAGUAGGUGGGGUAACGGCUCACCUAGGCGACGAUCCCUAGCUGGUCUGAGAGGAUGACCAGCCACACUGGAACUGAGACACGGUCCAGACUCCUACGGGAGGCAGCAGUGGGGAAUAUUGCACAAUGGGCGCAAGCCUGAUGCAGCCAUGCCGCGUGUAUGAAGAAGGCCUUCGGGUUGUAAAGUACUUUCAGCGGGGAGGAAGGGAGUAAAGUUAAUACCUUUGCUCAUUGACGUUACCCGCAGAAGAAGCACCGGCUAACUCCGUG
RNAcentral lists this ribosomal RNA (490 nucleotides) under uncultured bacterium. RNAcentral describes it as "partial 16S ribosomal RNA". It matches the Rfam family "Bacterial small subunit ribosomal RNA", at positions 30 to 507 of the family's 1533-position model. The record is from RNAcentral.